Long non-coding RNA from Lolium rigidum, 1622 nucleotides. RefSeq lists it as uncharacterized. The record is from RefSeq and is a predicted model, not a curated record. Lineage: Eukaryota; Viridiplantae; Streptophyta; Magnoliopsida; Poales; Poaceae. The transcript is spliced from 4 exons.
CAUCGCCGGCUGGAAUCGAGUAUGGACACCUCACCUCGAUCUCAAUCUUCAUGAGCACCCACUGUUCCUGACCUCCACUAGUCGCUGAAAUCAACCAUCGCCUGUGUACACGAGUUUCCCCAAACCUGCAGUUCCCGUCUAAAUUCCAUGACCUCUAGAUGUCCCCCCAAAUCUCUGCGCACUCACAUUGCAGCUCAGGCACGUAAUUUAUUGGUUUAGUUUUUAUUAGCCAAAUAUUUAUGGAGGUGCGAAUUCGAGUUUGAUUUAUUUCAAUUGCAUAGAGCUGGACUACUACUGAUCCUCACACCGAGCCUGUCAGACUUUCCUGCAUUUUUUUUGUUUAGCCUGCACUCAAACCUGGAGUAAUCUUGUAUGGAAUUUUUUUGAUUGCUGAUUCAGGUUAUUGGUUUUUAUUUUUCUGAAACAUAAACGAGAUAAUAAUGUGCUAUUUUGGUGCGUACUCAUGGAAUUGUAGCUUUGUAGAUGCGAAUGUGCUAUUUUUUUGCAGACUAUGCAACAGACUUGGAGACGAAGAGAAAGAAUCUAGAGGUAAUUUUGCGCUGACAAAAAAAUGUCAGUGUUUGUGUUCAUGUUGUAGCUAGGCUGUUGUCGCCUAAGGUGAGCUCAAGCCUAAAUCAUGCGAUUUUUUUAGUUCAGGAAUUUUUGCGAUAUUUAAUUUAGGUUUCGGUGUUCUAAUAUUGAUAAUUGAUAGGGUGGAUUAGAACUCUGCAAGUUAUAAUGAUUCAGGGACUGCCAUAACUACAAUUGUGAGUGAUCAUGUGUAGGUAGAUUCAGUUGCAAGACUUCAUGUUCAUAUCCUCCCUGGCCACCGGAGUAAUGACCUAGAGCCCUGCUCCAGCGCUCCUCGCCACUAGCACUGCUCCGGCCACCCCCACUAUUUUCUUCGUUGCUGGCGUCCGAUGAGCCCCGCAUCCCUCCAUCGUCGACACAAAUAAAUCCCUCCAUCAGCUACUUGGUGGGCUUAGACGGCAAGCUGCGCCGGUGUGCUUCUUUACUGAUUUCAGUGGUAUGCAACCCUUGAUUGGCGCUGGCUGCUCCUUAAUUUCCCCCCGGUAUUCUUCAGCACCGCCCUAUUUCUACCAAUUUGGAUGACUCCCCUUUUUACAUUCUCGUGCGUUUGACGAGGCGCCAAAUCACCAUAGACAUGGCACUGAAAUGUUGGCACAUCAGCAGGAGAGCCUCCAGCUGUUGUUUGAUGGAGUCGAGUGUGAUGUUUGUGUCAAGAAGACCACCACCAAGAUUAGUAGGCGAAAGGAGAACCAGUACAGAGCUGAAGAUCUCUCCUACCUCAUCUUCCAUGAUUUGAACGAUAUAAGGCCUUCACCUGAAGUUCAGGCCCAUGUUAACCCAUCUGUAAAAAUUGCUUUGAAGUUCCACUGGCGCAUCCUCUCCCAAAAAACAAAGUUGCACUUCUGUAUAUAGCCAAAUAUUUCUAUUCUAGUGCCCACGUACAUGUAAUGUUUUUGCUUAUGAAUGUGUCUUUUUAUUGGUGUCGUCCAACCAAACAUAUCCUGAAAUGUCUGUGGUGCUUGAAUGAUGCAUUGCUUGUAUGCUACCUUCUGUAAUUCAACAUGUUAUGUCCACUGUGUACCAUUUUUUUA